Long non-coding RNA from Passer domesticus (house sparrow), 1246 nucleotides. RefSeq lists it as uncharacterized. The transcript has 3 exons. NCBI's taxonomy places the organism in Eukaryota, Metazoa, Chordata, Aves, Passeriformes, Passeridae. The record is from RefSeq and is a predicted model, not a curated record.
AAGGGAUAAUAAUAGAGGCCUUAUGAUUAGGUGGCAAAAUUUAAAUUCAACUACUGUUCUUGGUCUUCGCCACUUCUUUUUCUUGAAAUUGCCACCUGUCUUGUUGUAGCUUAUCACCAAGAAGACUGGACAGUAGGACACCACAAUGGACUGCCAGCAUGUGUUCCAGGAGAGGAAAUUAAAUAUGCACAGAAUGCUUUAAAAUAUUCAGCACUUUAGGAAAAGAGAGUUGCUGGUUAGAAAAUAUUUAGAAAAAAUAUUUGUGGAAACUUUAUUUUAUCAACGCAAAAUUCUUACUUAUAGAUACUCUAACGGCCUGCCCGGUACUGAACUCAAGGUUUGUUCUACAGGUAAUAUAAACAGCCUUUCCACUGACCAGGUGUCCCUGCUAGUGACUUUGACUUCUGCAGAAUAGGAGAACGUGUGGUGUCCACAACAACAAACCAACAGCUAGAUGGUACCAGUGUAUCAGUGUCACACCAAUGGUUUAUACGCAUCUGGAGUGUUCCCACGUGUCCUCUAAAAUCACUUUGGUUGCUUUGGUCCUCAAUCCCCACUUUUAUCACACUAGAACUUAUACUGGGAGUUUAAGUAAUAUAUAAGCCUGAAGAGAUGGAAGAAAGGAUAUUUCUUUAAAGAUAUUUGACAUUUGGAUCUGAUUUUUAUUCAUGGGCUUGACAUAUUUUUGCAAAUCUGCAGCAUUAUUAGAAGAGCCAUGACUUUGUUCUUGAGCCCUAGCCCAGUGUUGUCAUGUCAGUUCUAGGGAAGUGAUGGGUGUUUGUUGGUUAUUUAAAAGCAUUUCUUGAGGGUUGAGAGAAAUUUAAGCUAUCCAUAUAAAAAGAGCUUGAUCCAAUUCCUUUAGAAAAUCCUUAUAUGCUGAUGGAAAACAUGUCAUCUAGAUAUUCUAGCAAAGUGAAAAGCCCAGAGUUUGUGUGUAAAAUGAGGAAGCCAGAGGGAAGGUUCCUUAGGACAAAUUUGGAGAGCAAUGUCUAUGUCAUUGUGGUGUGCAAGUCAAGACAAGUAAAACCACUGUUGAUACACUAAUGUGAAGGUAAAUGAGGAGUUUUGGAAAUCAUGAUAGGGGUAUUUGAGAAACACUGAAGAUAUUUCUCAAACACCUGGGCAUGGUGUAAAGAGACACAUAUGUGAGUUUUCAAAAUGCAGUUUUUAUUGAAAAGAAAUUUUAAUGGAAAAUUUUCACACUAACUCAAGAUUAUUGCAAUAAUCAUAACAGAAUUUUAGCUUU